AAGAGAGCUUGCUCUCUGAUUCAGCGGCGGACGGGUGAGUAAUGCCUAGGAAUCUGCCUGGUAGUGGGGGACAACGUUUCGAAAGGAACGCUAAUACCGCAUACGUCCUACGGGAGAAAGCAGGGGACCUUCGGGCCUUGCGCUAUCAGAUGAGCCUAGGUCGGAUUAGCUAGUUGGUGAGGUAAAGGCUCACCAAGGCGACGAUCCGUAACUGGUCUGAGAGGAUGAUCAGUCACACUGGAACUGAGACACGGUCCAGACUCCUACGGGAGGCAGCAGUGGGGAAUAUUGGACAAUGGGCGAAAGCCUGAUCCAGCCAUGCCGCGUGUGUGAAGAAGGUCUUCGGAUUGUAAAGCACUUUAAGUUGGGAGGAAGGGCAGUAAGCUAAUACCUUGCUGUUUUGACGUUACCGACAGAAUAAGCACCGGCUAACUUCGUGCCAGCAGCCGCGGUAAUACGAAGGGUGCAAGCGUUAAUCGGAAUUACUGGGCGUAAAGCGCGCGUAGGUGGUUCGUUAAGUUGGAUGUGAAAGCCCCGGGCUCAACCUGGGAACUGCAUCCAAAACUGGCGAGCUAGAGUAUGGCAGAGGGUGGUGGAAUUUCCUGUGUAGCGGUGAAAUGCGUAGAUAUAGGAAGGAACACCAGUGGCGAAGGCGACCACCUGGGCUAAUACUGACACUGA
Molecule: ribosomal RNA, 681 nt
Filed under: Pseudomonas sp. NEAU-ST5-4
Lineage: Bacteria; Pseudomonadati; Pseudomonadota; Gammaproteobacteria; Pseudomonadales; Pseudomonadaceae
Description: bacterial SSU rRNA
Rfam family: Bacterial small subunit ribosomal RNA
Source: RNAcentral